Long non-coding RNA from Cottoperca gobio, 3429 nucleotides. Ensembl lists it as uncharacterized. The record is from Ensembl. Lineage: Eukaryota; Metazoa; Chordata; Actinopteri; Perciformes; Bovichtidae.
UAGAGGAUUUAGCAUUAAGCAAAACAAUCUGUUAGAAGAGAAGGAUGGCUUCCUUUUCAUUGAUAAGACUCUGUCUUCUUUCUCUUACACAUGCAACAGUUGGACUUCAGUCAUUUGAUAAUGUGGUUAUGUUUGCCUUACUAGGAGAAGGCAUUACUUUACCAUGUGGCAUACCCUCAAUCACAUCCUGCUCCUCUGUUAACUGGAACUUAGCUGGAGAGUUUCGAACAGUCACGGAGGUGGUGAAGGCUGGAAUGGUGACAGCCCCGAACGCCCUCAGGCUUGGUCUGCUAAAGGACUGCUCUCUGAAGAUUAAUCGCCUGGUACUCGAUGAUGCACGAAUUUACUCUUGUAACAGUGGACUGCUCAAUUCAAAUGUUUCUCUUCAGAUUCUUGCAAUUGCUGAGCGUUCAACUCCUGCAGACAGCACAAUAGAACUUCAGUGUUUCCUCAAUACGUAUAAAGGAUAUGUUGCUUGUAGCAACACAGGGAUACAUAUCAAGUGGAGCACUGAAGAUAAUACACCAAUACAUGGGGAUAGAUUUCAGUUCAAACAUGAAUCUGAAUGCUUCUCCAAACUGAUUAUCACUAAAAAACUGACAGACCAUCACAGAAAAUGGAAAUGCCAGCUGACUCAUAAUGACAUGGUUCAAGCCACCAUCACUUAUACAACAACAAUACAAGAUGGCACAGAGGAAGUGUUUACAGCAGUGGGUGAGUCAGUGUCACUCUCUUGUAGCAACACUUCCUCUCUCAGCAUGAGUGGCCUCGUGAAGUGGUCUGUGGGUGAAAGGACUCUGGCAGAUGAUGUCUCACCUUAUAAAGGCCAAACGGAGGCAUUGCAUGUGAAAAAAGACUAUUCUCUGGUCAUUAGCAAAGUAAAGCCUCUGCACACCGGGGACUACCAGUGUACAGAGUUCACUGAUCAACAAAAAGUGUUUAAUAAAAUCCGGCUGCAUACCCUCGAUGUUACUUCAGAGCACGGGCCAGGAGAUGAUAAUCUCACUUUGACUUGUGUGCUUACCUGCACUAAAGAUUGUGGAAAAGACUUCAAUUUAACUUGGUCUGGAGGAAGCCACAAUAGCUGGCAGAGUGGUUUAAUGCAUGACAAUAACACUCUAAUAAACAGGUUGUUUCUGCCAGUGUUUUCAAUGACUGAUGAAAUAACUUGCUUUGUGCAAAGAGAGGGUGAAGUCAUGGCAUCAAAGAAAUGGCGCAUCAUUAAUCCUCUGCAAACACCUGCUUGGGUAGUCCUUCCUAUAGCCCUGCUGAUAUGUUUAACUGCUGGAGGACUCUACAUGUACAUGAAGAGGAAGCACAACAAGGAUGCAGGAAAUGAACAGUCAAAUAUUAGAAUGAUGCAUGUUUACGAGGUCAUUCAGGAUGCAACUAAUGAGGAACUACACCAGCAAACACAAACCAAAAGAGGAGCUGAGAACACCACUGGCAGUUUCUAUGAUUUAUUACAGGCUGUGAACUAGAACUUAAUAAAAGUGUCCUUUAACCUUGCAAAAUGUGUUUCACAAAACCUGUUUUAAAAGGUAAUAUUUUCUUGUAACAGAACACUGGAAAUUGGAUAAAAGAUUUUAUUGAAAGAUGGUAUUUUAAAUAUUUUUAAAUAAUACAGAUGAUUAGAUAUAUUAACACAAACAGGGUCUUUUCAACAGGGGUAAAAACAGGAGCUAGCAUGUUGCUCCAUAUUUUUACUCUUUGCAAGACAAAGACUUUACAUAUGAGUAGAUGUUACAUGUUUUUACAUGAUGCAUAAAUGUAAGCAGGAAAUCCAGAUUUAACUAUAAUUUCACGAGAACAAUUGUCUUCUUUGUGUUGAGCAGAACUUUACUAAUGCUGGACUGCAAUGAAGGACAGAAAGUUGUUAUUUGUCUAUUUUGAUAUGAUGAGAAUUAAAGUUAUGAUUUUAUUAUAGUAGUACUACUUACAAGUACACAUGCCUUCGUCCGGGAGUUGUUGGUAUAAACUGUUGACUCGAUGGUUUGUACGAUCUGUGAGAUAGUGAUACAAAGUUGUCAGUGAAGUGGUGAACAGAGAAGGAGAGAUCAUAGUGGCCAUUACAUAGUAGAAUAACAUGGUGCUCACCCUCUGAAAGCGUAAAAUUCACAAUCUCAUAACCAGCACUGGACUCUGUAAGAGUAACUGAUUAACAGCAAGAGAAAACAAAGCUAUGAUAACACUUUAGUACACUGCAUUGCUCAACAAAAAUAAGGAAAUAAAAGAUAGAUCAAACCUGCUGGGUGCCUCAGGGUUUGUUGUAUAACUCUCUGGGUGUUACGUCUGCGGUAAAUGAACACUCCUAUCAGUGCAGCCAUUAUGGCAAUCCCAACAAGGACUGAAGUCACAACAACUACCAUAAAUGAUCCACUACUCCCCUCCUUCUUGCCUUUCAAAAUAUUCUCACUGGUAGUCAUUUCUGGAGAAGACAGGAUCAAUUACAACACCACAUUUAACAGGAGAGUUCUAAUGCAAUUUAAUUCAAACAUAAAAUAUUUGAGUUUCUGUUGCAAUACCUUGAGCUGUUGUGGCCACAACAGCAUGUUCCACUUCUUAAAGGAAACAUAAAAGGUACAAGGGAGUUAUGCAUGUUGUCAUUUGUUGUCAGUGAUAAUACCAAAUAGUUUAAAAUCUUACCUUGGACCAGUAGUUUAAUGUCGAAGCAGCGGUGAGUUUGUCCAAGCGUGUAAUUACAUCUGUACCAACUACUGUCAUCGUUAUUCACAGACUGGAUAGCUAAUGAAGUCCCAUUCAUUUCAACCCUUUUAAAGUUUACAGCUGCAGGGCUGCCUCCUUUCAUCAUUGCCCAGGAGAUGUUUUGGGGUCCUUGUUGUCCUGAUGUUAUGUCCACUGGGCAGUUCAGGUUAGCGGGUGUGCUCGGCGCUGCCUUCACUGGCAGAAGGGCUUUGCAGUCUGAAAGAUAUAUAGAUAUAUAGAUUUGUGUUAUAAAUUAGUGGGAUUUAUUUGUAAAGGAGAGAAAAUAAGAAGAAUAAAAGUGUGACAUUACCUUUUACUUUUAAAGAUACAUUUUUGACACUAAUAAAAUCCCAGUCACACCAGAUUUCACAUCCGUACACUCCCUCAUCAGAUUUUUGUGAUUUUGUCAGAAAAAGAGACAUUUGUCCAUUUCCAUCAUCUUGCCAUUUUACACGUUCAGCGUCCUGGAAUUUAUGUGUUUUAGGCCGGGUUAAGAUAACCUUCAUCUGACUUCCAUCUGUGGCAUAUUUAAUCAACCUGACUCGAAUGCAACUCCUUCGAUCCAUUUCGCUCCAUGAAUCUGCACAAGGGAGAACUACAUCUUCUUCUUGAGAAGUAAUCACAGUCUCGAUUCCUGGUGAGCCAUCUUUAAAAUGAUAAGAGAUACAGAUUAUAAUUCAUUUAAGAAUAAGACUUCGAGGAGAUAUUGUAUAGAGGGUUUUU